This is a long non-coding RNA of Ostrea edulis (European flat oyster), 3423 nucleotides long. RefSeq lists it as uncharacterized. The record is from RefSeq and is a predicted model, not a curated record. NCBI's taxonomy places the organism in Eukaryota, Metazoa, Mollusca, Bivalvia, Ostreida, Ostreidae. The transcript is spliced from 4 exons.
GGUAGUUACAUUUCUAAUAGUUGUGUUGUUGUUUUGCGUGUUGUUGUUUUUUUUAUCUGUUUACAAUUUUUUUUAAAGUCAUUUUGUAAUUAAGGUCUUCCGUAGCAACGGAAGACCUUCUACUUAUUGUGCUGGUUAAGAUUAUUCUUAUUAUUCUUUUUUUUUUUUCCUAGACGCUAACUUUGAAGCUUCAUAUCUCGCUCAUUCCUCAACCGAUUUUGCUCAAAUUUUCAGCUUUAAUACAUUUUACUAAAGACUUUCAAAAUACUUUUAAACAUUUUGGAUAUUUUCUUCCGUUUGCGAGUUAUUUCCCUUUUAGUGAAAUUUUAGGGGCUUUGGUUUCCAGAUAAAGGCUCCGAGACUAUAAUAAUUGGAGCAGAGAAAACACUGAAUUGGUAAAGUAGAAGCAUUGUAGUUGUGCACAUCAUAUUUUGUUUUUUGAUUUCGCCAUUUAAAAUGGCGAUAGAGAGGGGUCAAAAAUUAGGACGCCUGAAAGAGCGAAAAUUUGCACAUAAUUUCCUUUGUAUCUUUUAAACUAAAAAUAUUUUGUUAAGACAUGUAAAAUAAAAGUUGUGUAGAAUUUCAAGAGCUUUUAUUUGACACCAGUAAAAGGGGGCUGGCCCCUUAAAUUAGGGAUCUACGGCCCCUAAAAGUUUUCGCUUUAUAGCUCAAAAACGGCAAAGAAUUCGAUAUGGUUUCCGAUAGAAAAGUUGUUCUUUAACAUCUUAUUUAUCUCAUGAAAUUGUUAUUUUGUUCGAAUCUUGUGUUAUAUUAGAGUAAAAAGCUAUACCCGUAAACAAGUAGCCAUUUUCAUUUGGCAAGUGAGCGAGAACUCUUCAUGCGUAUAACUGAAAUAAACUUGCUAAAAAUAACAUACCUGACUACAAUAGAUACUAAUAUUCAUUUUAAAUAAGGUUUUUAACAUGCUCUGUGGUUCAAAUACAAAUUAUUUAAUGAUACAUUUCUCUUUUUCUUUCGUUUUAACAUAAACAAACCUUCAACAACAACAAAAGGAGAGAGAUAAAUUAUCUUUUAUUUGUUUCAUAUUAGAAUUAAAAUAAGUAAUAUACAUAAAAAUAAAACGUUCAAACGUAAAAUAAAUCAUGGUCAAUAACUGCAAGCUGUUUACAUUCUUCACGGUCAGCGUUGUUUAUACAGUUAUGUAACCCAACUCUCGCCUCGCUCGCAGGUGGCCAGAGUGACAAGCUUGCAUAAUCAAAACAAAAACAUCGAAGCUAACUCGGCUUUCGUCCAUCGCAUAAAUAAACACAUCAAUUACUGGAAAAUUAUGUUUGAAAUCAUUUUGAAUCCUUUUACAUUAUAUCAUACUUAAUUAACAAUUAUAUUAUGUUUUAUUUCAAUUAUAAAGUAAUUGUAAAGAUGCUACCGCAAACAUUUCGAGUUAGUGAUCAAUGGACCUCAUAAUAUUUGUGUCAAGUUAUACAUACAUUUAAAAAAAAACUACACCAUUUUCCUGAUUAUUUAUCGGGUUGUCAUUUUCCUCACAAUAAGUUUACGGUAAGGGUAUGUGACGUUUCUAAUUGUCAGAAAAAAUCAUACUAAAUAAAAUGAAGUAGUCUUAAGUUUUAUUAACUUAUAAUUGUCUGCAUACAGAAGGAUUUAUUUGUCGGUUCAUUUCAUUUCAUCUAAAUACAAUCAUGCGUGCAAGUAAAUGCGGUUUUUAUAAGUGAAAUGAAAAAGGCAAGAGCGCCCCAAAUAUAUAUAUACAUCUCAAGCGUCUUAUUGUGUUUAAUUUUGGAGAUUCAUCACAUGUGGACAAGCAAUCUGUGAUUUAACUCUACUUUAGCCAGUUGAUACACAAGCUUUCUGCAUUCUUUACAAAGUGAAAAAAAUGGAUCCUUUUUGUAAGCAUAACAAAUAAUUUAUAAACUUUAUUUUUUAAAUCACGGGUUCUUAUCAUGAUUAUACCAACUCUAAACAUGUAUAGAAAAUCAUCAGAAAUCCACAUCGAAUCAGUCUCAUUUCAUUCAGUCAUUAACUGCAAGCAUUUUACAUACACACCGGGGUUUGUUCUUGUUUACAAUUACGUAACCCAUGGCUCGAUUGCCCGAGUUCGGAGCCAUCGCAUGUGUACCAGCGAUCAGCGGCAAUACAUGUACACACGACAUAUGGUCAAGUUCGAGGUUUUUAUGUCACACAGCUCCGACGGAAGACCUCUCGUUGCUUUGCAACGAGGUUUGCUCUAGUUGAAUGUCUUAUUGUGCAUAUUUUCAAGAUUAUGUGUAUCCUUAAAACAGUUUGGCUUUAAAUUAUUUCAGGACAUCAGCAUUGGAUUAUUAUGCAAUUUUGCAAAUGUGAGAUGGAGUCUGUCGCUUUGGUCAGGUACAGACUUUGGCCAUCUUCCUCUGAAUCCCCCCGUGUUGCAUUUGAUUUUAAAUUGAUGGAAUUGGCUGUGGUACUUCAGCUUGAAGGUCAUUUAUCUUUGAAAUCUUUCUGUGAUGCCAUUAUUCAAUCUCAAAAUGGAUUCCCUGUGAUGGUGCGACCAGAUGAGGCCUGGGGUAAUGGUAAUGUAAUGAGAGCCUAUCUCAGUGUAGUGGACCAUUUUUGCAUUAUACAUGACCACACCUAGCUGGAAGCAACGACGCCACCAUUCUAAGCCAGAUACUUCAUGCUAAUGCAGAGGAUCUGAAGAGCUGGUUCCAUGAAGAUUUUUGUUUUUGUAGACUGGGGAUUUCGGGAUUUACUUGAUAUUCUUUUCGAGUUGGGAAUAAGAGCUGAAAUGACAUGUCUUCUAAAUAUUGAAUAUAUAUAAGAUUAAUUAUAUAAACAAGUUAGAUUUAAUAUCAAAAAUUUAAUAUUAUAUAUUGAUACCUUUGAACUACGCUUAAGGGGAAGUUCGUUGAUGUUCGGAUGAAGUCGUUAAAGAGCCCGAUGUGGUUGUAUCUAUAGUCACCACGCAUUCAACAACCAAAAUGGCGAGAGGAGGUUUUUCAUCCCCGAAAACUUCUCCUUUGGCUUUAGUUCAGUCCAGAACUAUGAAAAGAGAAGGGUGGGCAACCCUGACAGGGUGCAGGACGAUUGAUGAGUGCUUGAAUAUGUAUGUUCCAUGUAGUCCAGCCCAUCUGGAUCUACUGUGCAAGUUUCGUGGCCAGAUCCACUUGGUCUUUAUAUGCAACAGUUUUUAAAGGAAUAUUUUACUUUGAAACAUAAAACUUUAAUAUCGCGUUCUGAUUUUUAUAAACUAUAGCAAGUCAAUUUUUAUCAGAAUUCUGUAUUUCUAAGUAGUAUGAACGUAUAAUAUCCAGUAUUAAACAGGAAGAAUUUAAGGAAAUCUACAGACUUUUGGAUAUUAACGGAAACUCCGAUCUCAUACAAAAUUUUGAGGAUGCCUUGUUGAAGUCGAAUGGUAAAGAUGACAAUGAAGAUAAUGGACGGAUUUUUCCUACAUACAAAUUGUAUUUU